This 201-nucleotide ribosomal RNA is filed under the name uncultured bacterium. Its description in RNAcentral is "partial 16S ribosomal RNA". It matches the Rfam family "Bacterial small subunit ribosomal RNA", at positions 1300 to 1500 of the family's 1533-position model. The record is from RNAcentral.
GUAGUCUGCAACCCGACUACAUGAAGCUGGAAUCGCUAGUAAUCGCGGAUCAGAAUGCCGCGGUGAAUACGUUCCCGGGUCUUGUACACACCGCCCGUCACACCAUGGGAGUCGGAAAUGCCCGAAGUCUGUGACCCAACCUACGGGAGGGAGCAGCCGAAGGCAGGUCGGAUGACUGGGGUGAAGUCGUAACAAGGUAAC